RNAcentral lists this ribosomal RNA (305 nucleotides) under uncultured bacterium. Its description in RNAcentral is "bacterial SSU rRNA". It matches the Rfam family "Bacterial small subunit ribosomal RNA", at positions 333 to 655 of the family's 1533-position model. The record is from RNAcentral.
GUGUUCCUACGGGGCGCAGCAGUGGGGAAUAUUGCACAAUGGGGGAAACCCUGAUGCAGCGACGCCGCGUGAGUGAGGAAGUAUUUCGGUAUGUAAAGCUCUAUCAGCAGGGAAGAAAAUGACGGUACCUGACUAAGAAGCCCCGGCUAACUACGUGCCAGCAGCCGCGGUAAUACGUAGGGGGCAAGCGUUAUCCGGAUUUACUGGGUGUAAAGGGAGCGCAGGCGGUAUGGCAAGUCAGAUGUGAAAACCCAGGGCCCAACCCUGGGACUGCAUUUGAAACUGCCAUACUGGAGUGCCGGAGG